GAGUUUGAUCGUGGCUCAGGACGAACGCUGGCGGCGUGCUUAACACAUGCAAGUCGAACGGAGUAUUCACGAAAGAGGUUUCGGCCAAUGGAGUGAAUUACUUAGUGGCGGACUGGUGAGUAACGCGUGAGGAACCUGCCUUUCAGUGGGGGACAACAGUUGGAAACGUCUGCUAAUACCGCAUAACACAUUUGAGGGACAUCCCUUGAAUGUCAAAGAUUUAUUGCUGAAAGAUGGCCUCGCGUCUGAUUAGCUAGUUGGUGAGGUAACGGCCCACCAAGGCGACGAUCAGUAGCCGGACUGAGAGGUUGACCGGCCACAUUGGGACUGAGAUACGGCCCAGACUCCUACGGGAGGCAGCAGUGGGGAAUAUUGGGCAAUGGACGAAAGUCUGACCCAGCAACGCCGCGUGAAGGAAGAAGGCUUUCGGGUUGUAAACUUCUUUUAAGGGGGAAGAGUAGAAGACGGUACCCCUUGAAUAAGCCACGGCUAACUACGUGCCAGCAGCCG
Molecule: ribosomal RNA, 510 nt
Filed under: bacterium enrichment culture clone ALO1_GLFRUDD03GES1Q
Lineage: Bacteria
Description: bacterial SSU rRNA
Rfam family: Bacterial small subunit ribosomal RNA
Source: RNAcentral